AACGCACAUUGCGCCCCGUGGUAUUCCGCGGGGCAUGCCUGUUCGAGCGUCAUUACAACCCUCAAGCUCUGCUUGGUAUUGGGCCCCGCCGGCAACGGCCGGCCUUAAAAUCAGUGGCGGUGCUGUCAGGCCCUAAGCGUAGUAAUCUUUCUCGCUACAGGGUCCUGGUGGUGCCUGCCAUCAACCCCCAAUUUUCUAUGGUUGACCUCGGAUCAGGUAGGGAUACCCGCUGAACUUAA
This 239-nucleotide unclassified non-coding RNA is filed under the name Hyaloscypha sp. Its description in RNAcentral is "partial contains 5.8S ribosomal RNA, internal transcribed spacer 2, and large subunit ribosomal RNA". The stretch from base 1 to 52 matches the Rfam family "5.8S ribosomal RNA", at positions 103 to 154 of the family's 154-position model. RNAcentral also lists the same sequence under 1 other name. Lineage: Eukaryota; Fungi; Ascomycota; Leotiomycetes; Helotiales; Hyaloscyphaceae. The record is from RNAcentral.